UAAUUUUGAAUCUCUGCGUAAUAGAGAAAUU
Molecule: non-coding RNA, 31 nt
Filed under: Mus musculus (house mouse)
Lineage: Eukaryota; Metazoa; Chordata; Mammalia; Rodentia; Muridae
Source: RNAcentral